This 301-nucleotide ribosomal RNA is filed under the name uncultured bacterium. RNAcentral's name for it is "partial 16S ribosomal RNA". It matches the Rfam family "Bacterial small subunit ribosomal RNA", at positions 509 to 807 of the family's 1533-position model. The record is from RNAcentral.
CAGCAGCCACGGUAAAACGAAGGGUGCAAGCGUUACUCGGAAUUACUGGGCGUAAAGCGUGUGUAGGUGGUUGUUUAAGUCUGUCGUGAAAGCCCUGGGCUCAACCUGGGAAUUGCGAUGGAUACUGGGCGACUAGAGUGCGGUAGAGGAUAGUGGAAUUUCCGGUGUAGCAGUGAAAUGCGUAGAGAUCGGAAGGAACAUCUGUGGCGAAGGCGACUAUCUGGGCCAACACUGACACUGAGACACGAAAGCGUGGGGAGCAAACAGGAUUAGAUACCCCCGUAGUCCCUGUCUCUUAUAC